GGAAGUAAAAAGUCGUAACAAGGUUUCCGUAGGUGAACCUGCGGAAGGAUCAUUACCGAGUGAGGGCCCUCUGGGUCCAACCUCCCACCCGUGUUUAUUUUACCUUGUUGCUUCGGCGGGCCCGCCUUAACUGGCCGCCGGGGGGCUUACGCCCCCGGGCCCGCGCCCGCCGAAGACACCCUCGAACUCUGUCUGAAGAUUGUAGUCUGAGUGAAAAUAUAAAUUAUUUAAAACUUUCAACAACGGAUCUCUUGGUUCCGGCAUCGAUGAAGAACGCAGCGAAAUGCGAUACGUAAUGUGAAUUGCAAAUUCAGUGAAUCAUCGAGUCUUUGAACGCACAUUGCGCCCCCUGGUAUUCCGGGGGGCAUGCCUGUCCGAGCGUCAUUUCUGCCCUCAAGCACGGCUUGUGUGUUGGGCCCCGUCCUCCGAUCCCGGGGGACGGGCCCGAAAGGCAGCGGCGGCACCGCGUCCGGUCCUCGAGCGUAUGGGGCUUUGUCACCCGCUCUGUAGGCCCGGCCGGCGCUUGCCGAUCAACCCAAAUUUUUAUCCAGGUUGACCUCGGAUCAGGUAGGGAUACCCGCUGAACUUAAGCAUAUA
This 597-nucleotide ribosomal RNA is filed under the name Penicillium commune. Its description in RNAcentral is "eukaryotic LSU rRNA". The stretch from base 232 to 384 matches the Rfam family "5.8S ribosomal RNA". The record is from RNAcentral. Lineage: Eukaryota; Fungi; Ascomycota; Eurotiomycetes; Eurotiales; Aspergillaceae.